UUCUGGCAUCGAUGAAGAACGCAGCGAAAUGCGAUAAGUAAUGUGAAUUGCAGAAUUCAGUGAAUCAUCGAAUCUUUGAACGCACAUUGCGCCCCUUGGUAUUCCGAGGGGCAUGCCUGUUCGAGCGUCAUUUCACCACUCAAG
Molecule: ribosomal RNA, 144 nt
Filed under: Cercospora lagenariae
Lineage: Eukaryota; Fungi; Ascomycota; Dothideomycetes; Mycosphaerellales; Mycosphaerellaceae
Description: 5.8S ribosomal RNA
Rfam family: 5.8S ribosomal RNA
About the family: 5.8S ribosomal RNA (5.8S rRNA) is a component of the large subunit of the eukaryotic ribosome.
Source: RNAcentral